GUGUCAGCAGCCGCGGUAAUACGGAGGAUCCGAGCGUUAUCCGGAUUUAUUGGGUUUAAAGGGUGCGCGGGCGGGGGAUUAAGUCGGCGGUGAAAUUUUGCAGCUCAACUGUAAAAGUGCCUUCGAAACUGGUUUCCUUGAGUGUAGAUGAAGUAGGCGGAAUUUGUGGUGUAGCGGUGAAAUGCAUAGAUAUCACGAGGAACUCCGAUUGCGCAGGCAGCUUACUAAACUACUACUGACGCUCAGGCACGAAGGCGUGGGGAUCAAACAGGAUUAGAUACUCCCGGGUAGUCC
Molecule: ribosomal RNA, 294 nt
Filed under: uncultured prokaryote
Description: partial 16S ribosomal RNA
Rfam family: Bacterial small subunit ribosomal RNA
Source: RNAcentral